UUUCAAUACCAUCCCUAUGAUUUUAUUUUAGUAACUUAUAAUUUAAAGUGUAACAAUUUAUUAGUACUUUAUAAUUUCAUAUUUUUUCAUUUUAGUAUCCUAUGAUUUAAAGUGUAUCAAUUUAGCAUUCUGUGGUUUCAUCUUUCUCUUUUUGCCAGCUCCUUUGUUAAUAUUUCGUUAAAUUAUAUACAAAAAACUUCAGAUACCCUAUCUAGAUUUAUCGAAUAUUUAUUUUAAUACCCUUUAGUUUUAACUUUAUCACUAGUUUUUUUUUCCUCUGUUAAUAUUUCGUUAAAUUAUAUACAAAAAAAACUUCAGAUAUCUCAUCUAGUUUUAUUGAAUAUUCACUUUAGUACUCUUUAGUUUUAACUUCGUCACUGAUUUAACGAAAAAAAUUAGUGAAAUUGAUAAUGAAAAGGGAAAAAUGAAACCACAUAGUACUAACUUGAUACAUUUUAAACCACAGAGUACUAAAGAAAGAAAGUACGAAACCAUAGGGGCUAACUUGAUACACUUUAAAUCAUAGGAUACUAAACUGAGAAAGUGUGAAACCAAGGGGGG
This 561-nucleotide long non-coding RNA is filed under the name Ananas comosus (pineapple). Its description in RNAcentral is "long non-coding RNA (ACOM_LNC009311)". The record is from RNAcentral. Lineage: Eukaryota; Viridiplantae; Streptophyta; Magnoliopsida; Poales; Bromeliaceae.